CGGGGGAGCACACAACGGGUGGAGCUGCGGUUUAAUUGGACUCAACGCCGGGCAGCUCACCGGAUAGGACAGCGGAAUGAUAGCCGGGCUGAAGACUUGCUUGACCAGCUGAGAGGAGGUGCAUGGCCCGUCGUCAGUUCGUACUGUGAAGCAUCCUGUUUAGUCAGGCAACGAGCGAGACCCACGCCAACAGUUGCUAGCAUGUUCUCCGGAAUGAUGAGGACACUGUUGGGACCGCCUCUGCUAAAGAGGAGGAAGGAAUGGGCAACGGUAGGUCAGCAUGCCCCGAAUUAUCCGGGCUACACGCGGGCUACAAUGGUCAGGACAAUGGGAAACGGCACUGAAAAGUGUAGUCAAUCUCCUAAACCUGUCCCAAGUUCGGAUUGUGGGCUGCAACUCGCCCACAUGAAGCUGGAAUCCGUAGUAAUCGCGUUCAAAAUAGCGCGGUGAAUAAGUCCCUGCUGCCUGCACACACCGUAAUCUAGAGCAUCGCGAGGUACCGAG
This 504-nucleotide ribosomal RNA is filed under the name uncultured bacterium. RNAcentral's name for it is "bacterial SSU rRNA". It matches the Rfam family "Archaeal small subunit ribosomal RNA", at positions 869 to 1376 of the family's 1478-position model. The record is from RNAcentral.